CAACUAGACUCCGCAGAGACUCAAGCUUAACAGCGCAUGACCAGAAAGCUGCCGUUUCAGCUCAGGCUUUGUUUACAUGUUCAGGGACAUAAGUCUAAAUGAUUCAUAAGAGAACUGGAGCCACAUCGGACGGCUGACAGAAACAUUAUGAGCGUUCGCUCUGUGAUCCAGUGGUGAGGCUGAUAGUAUCUCUUUCAUUUCCUCCGCACAAUGCCCUGAAAACAGAAGCCCCGCAGAGAACUGGGGCCUGUGUUCCGUUCUGAUAACCUUGAAGGGGAGAUGGAAGAAAUCAUUUACUUUCAUAAGGAUAUGUGCGCUCGAGUCCCGUCUUGCUGCGUGAGUGGGCAAAAUGGAUUUGAGGAUUUUUUAUUCCACCUGUGCUCUUGCUCUAACUAUUUCAGCAUGCCUUCAUGUCUUCCAGAGGUUUUUAUGCACUGUUAAGAAGCCGGUAUUACUCAAGAUGUUAAAUAUUCAUCCAGAUGUGAAACACCAAAGUUGUCAAGGGCAAGGAAUUUUAUUUUUUUGAUACACUGCAUUUUUUUUAUGAUUCAAGUUGACUAAAUGGAUUGGGUGUAAAAAAAAAAAAAAAAAAAAAAAAAAACGAGUUUCAGAGAAAAGGAAGGCAGCUGUACAAUCACGCAAACAGAGAGAACAAAAACUACCUUUAUUUACGGUUGUAUGUGAAUUUCACUUUCUUGCUCUCGCACGUUUUCUAACCUUCUUUCGUCUCUUUUUCUUUGAUCUUUUCACCUUCUGAGGAAUUCUGGAUUUCUUUUGAAAGCCUGAAAAUGGAUGCCCGAGAGGAUGAGGAUACAUCUUUGAGGUAUAACACAACCGAGGUGUGAAAGUCAAGGGCACAGAAAUUCAUAGAUGUAACACACCUAAAAUAGAACAGCUUUUAAAAACCAGCCAUGAACACAUGAAAUGGAAACUGACAUGAGACUAUACAGCAUUCUGCUGCUCCUUGAUAAAUUAUUUCUUGACGUCUGGCACUGGGAAUCAGAGAUAUCCUUGAAAAAAUAACAACUGGUGUCAUUUUUCUGUUCUUCAAAUGAAGAGCUUUAUUCUGGUGUCUGCUACACAAGCGUGUUGCCUUUUUACGAUUUACAACUUCAAGUGCAGCCCAUUCCACUUCCUACUUUUGAAACAAAUCCAGAAGAUUACAGCAGACACACAUCCCAAGUAGAAGGUCUGCUGAGAAGGAACUGCUGAUAUACUGUACCAGUACCACAUUACCGUGCUCAUUGUUUCGCUUUCUUCUCUUGUUCAUGAUGGAGGAUUAAGCAGUGUCUUUACAUGGGUGCCAGGCUCUUAGCAAACAAACCAUUCACAAAUGGAAAAUGCAAUCGGGCAAAUACUGUUAGCAGACAAAAGGAACAGGGUGCACGUCUGCAGACACGGAAAAGCCAUUUCAGUUUGCUUGUCAGAGCACAUAAGGUUUCACAAAAGCAUAGUUAAAGUCCAAAAGUAGCAGAUGUGUUUUCCACCACAAAGUCUCGGAUUCGGUGCGCGGAACAAAAAGGAGCGAAGAAUGGUGUUUGGAUUUGGAGCAAAAAGCUAUUCUCUGUAGAAUUCCACCCGGACCCACUGAGAGAUGUGACUUUACCUCCAUUCUCAAAAUUAGAGUUGCCAAGUAAAGCGUAACUAAAUGAAUAGAGUUUUAUGCCAGUUUUUAGCACUAUUUUUUUUUCCAGCAAAAUGCAUCAACAUUGACAAUUGUAUUUUGCAGCCAAAUUUCAUUAGUAUUUUAACUACAAUAUAAAUAUACAAUAGAAAAGCUAUACAUUUAAUAGAAAACAUGCUAUACGAGCAAUAUAUAUAUUUGUAAACUAACAGCAAAUCAGCAUAUCAGAGUGAUUUCUGAAGGACCAUGUGACACUAAAGACUGGAGGAAUGAUGCUGAAAAUACAUUUUUGCAUCACAAGAAUAAAUGACAGCUUAAUAUAUAUAUCGAUACAGGAAAUAGUUAUUUUAAAUUCCAAUUAUAUUUUACUGUAUUCUUCAUCAAAUAACUUGGUGAGCUAAAAACAAACCAAAAAACAAACACUGAACUCUUAACCUACCCUAAAUCCGAGCAUUUCUCAACAAUUUUAAAAACA
Long non-coding RNA from Carassius gibelio (silver crucian carp), 2099 nucleotides. RefSeq lists it as uncharacterized. The transcript has 3 exons. The record is from RefSeq and is a predicted model, not a curated record. NCBI's taxonomy places the organism in Eukaryota, Metazoa, Chordata, Actinopteri, Cypriniformes, Cyprinidae.